UACGAAGGGGGCUAGCGUUGCUCGGAAUCACUGGGCGUAAAGCGCACGUAGGCGGAUCUUUAAGUCAGGGGUGAAAUCCUGGAGCUCAACUCCAGAACUGCCUUUGAUACUGGGGAUCUCGAGUCCGGGAGAGGUGAGUGGAACUGCGAGUGUAGAGGUGAAAUUCGUAGAUAUUCGCAAGAACACCAGUGGCGAAGGCGGCUCACUGGCCCGGUACUGACGCUGAGGUGCGAUAGCGUGGGGAGCAAACAGG
Molecule: ribosomal RNA, 253 nt
Filed under: uncultured bacterium
Lineage: Bacteria
Description: partial 16S ribosomal RNA
Rfam family: Bacterial small subunit ribosomal RNA
Source: RNAcentral